This 235-nucleotide unclassified non-coding RNA is filed under the name uncultured fungus. RNAcentral's name for it is "sequence contains ITS1, 5.8S rRNA gene". Lineage: Eukaryota; Fungi. The record is from RNAcentral.
UUGAAUACGCUUGGGUGCUGAUGCUGGCCUUUUCGGAGGCAUGUGCUCGCAUUCAAACUAUUUAUCUUCUCUUGUGCACCUUUUGUAGUCUUUGGAACGCUCUCCGCUGAAAAUGCGGGUUUUGGGGGGCAACGGAUUCACGUCUGUGCCCUCUGGUUUCGAAGACUAUGUUUUCAUAUACCUUUAGUAUGUUAUAGAAUGUCAUCUUAGUGGCUUCGGCCGCUAUAACCUUAUA